GACGAACGCUGGCGGCGUGCUUAACACAUGCAAGUCGAACGAUGAAGCGGGUGCUUGCACUCGUGGAUUAGUGGCGAACGGGCGAGUAACACGUGAGUAACCUGUCCUUUUCUUUGGGAUAACGGCUGGAAACGGCCGCUAAUACUGGAUAUUCAGGCUGCAUCGCAUGGUGUGGUUUGGAAAGGUUUUUUCUGGGAUUGGGUGGGCUCGCGGCCUAUCAGCUUGUUGGUGGGGUGAUGGCUUACCAAGGCUUUGACGGGUAGCCGGCCUGAGAGGGUGGUCGGUCGCACUGGGACUGAGAUACGGCCCAGACUCCUACGGGAGGCAGCAGUGGGGAAUAUUGCACAAUGGACGAAAGUUUGAUGCAGCGACGCCGCGUGGAGGGUGUAGGCCUUCGGGUUGUGAACUCCUUUGUCUCGCGGAAAAGGCACAGUUUUGGCUGUGUUGAUGGUAGUGGGGGAAGAAGCGCCGGCUAACUACGUG
RNAcentral lists this ribosomal RNA (483 nucleotides) under uncultured bacterium. RNAcentral's name for it is "partial 16S ribosomal RNA". It matches the Rfam family "Bacterial small subunit ribosomal RNA", at positions 28 to 507 of the family's 1533-position model. The record is from RNAcentral.